Molecule: long non-coding RNA, 893 nt
Organism: Pocillopora damicornis (cauliflower coral)
Lineage: Eukaryota; Metazoa; Cnidaria; Anthozoa; Scleractinia; Pocilloporidae
Source: RefSeq, a predicted model, not a curated record
CCUUCACGCAAAUUUAUGGUAAAGGAAAACUCGAGACUUUUCGCACAUAUAGCUUUAUUGAUUACCGGUUUCCUGUUGAUUUACUAUUACGUUUUGAGCUUUAAUUAUCGAAAACGUUGUACGGUUUUUUAACACUGUGCUGGAGGCUCUUGCAGUUGAACAUUUGAGUAAGUUGCUAUAGUGGAGUCCAACAAGCACACCCUAUGAAAUCGACUGGAAACUUUGAUUUCAGUUUGGAGAAGACCCGAAUUUUUUCCAGCAAAGCAAGAGUCACAAGAGAAGACUUGAAACCUUACUGAACAACUGACAGAGGUUUGGGAGCUCCUCCCUGCUAGUUCCGGACUCGUAGCAAUGUGGUGGUUGACAAGGAUCUGACGCAAUCUAGUGUCCUUUUUCUUCAUAAGGUCAAAAUGCUGGGACUGGGUAUUGAAUUUAGAGUGUAUUCUUUCAAUCCCUUGUUCGCCAUAGAAUCUAAGGCUCAUGUGCCAUUGUCGAAGAAAAGGGCAAACAUGUUCUUCUAGCAUAUGGAGCUUUGGUGUGAUCAUCAUGUCUGGAAAUUUUUUCCUAAUGAACUGAAGAAAAUGUGUGAUGUCUUCCUCUGCAACAAGAAAACAAGAAAAGGUGAAACAGACGCAGGACAUGAUCUUAUUAUUGUAUUCGUGUUUUCCAUGAAAGUCAGGUUUUUUUCUUUCACUGACCUAGCUUAUCAAUCUUGCCAUCAUUGAGAUAGUCUGUACUGUCAGACUAAGUGGCAAGCAGCAGAUACUUGAAAACUUGUUCAAAUUUAACACUAAUUUCUCUUGCUUGAGAAAGGAAGGAAGGAAGGACACAGCUCCUCUGUUUUUGUCACCACAGCACUGCAUAGUUUAAUGAUGUUGUCUUCCUACCAAAAA